Molecule: ribosomal RNA, 953 nt
Filed under: uncultured Aciditerrimonas sp.
Lineage: Bacteria; Bacillati; Actinomycetota; Acidimicrobiia; Acidimicrobiales; Acidimicrobiaceae
Description: bacterial SSU rRNA
Rfam family: Bacterial small subunit ribosomal RNA
Source: RNAcentral
GAGUUUGAUCCUGGCUCAGGACGAACGCUGGCGGCGUGCCUAACACAUGCAAGUCGAACGAGGUCCAACCGGUGGCAACACUGGUGAAGACCUAGUGGCGAACGGGUGAGUAACACGUGAGCAACCUGCCCCGAUGACCGGGAUAACACCGGGAAACCGGUGCUAAUACCGGAUGUCCCCACCGAGUCGCAUGGCUUGGUGAGGAAAUGGAUUCCGCUUCGGGAGGGGCUCGCGGCCUAUCAGCUUGUUGGUGGGGUAACGGCCCACCAAGGCUCCGACGGGUAGCUGGUCUGAGAGGACGAUCAGCCACACUGGGACUGAGACACGGCCCAGACUCCUACGGGAGGCAGCAGUGGGGAAUCUUGCGCAAUGGGCGAAAGCCUGACGCAGCAACGCCGCGUGAGGGACGAAGGCCUUCUGGGUUGUAAACCUCUUUCAGCAGGGACGAUAAUGACGGUACCUGCAGAAGAAGCCCCGGCCAACUACGUGCCAGCAGCCGCGGUGAUACGUAGGGGGCGAGCGUUGUCCGGAUUCAUUGGGCGUAAAGAGCUCGUAGGCGGCUUUGCAAGUCGGGUGUGAAACCUCCAGGCUCAACCUGGAGCCGCCACUCGAUACUGCAAUGGCUAGAGUCCGGUAGGGGACCACGGAACUCCUGGUGUAGCGGUGAAAUGCGCAGAUAUCAGGAAGAACACCGGUGGCGAAAGCGGUGGUCUGGGCCGGAACUGACGCUGAGAGCGAAAGCGUGGGAGCGAACAGGAUUAGAUACCCUGGUAGUCCACGCCGUAAACGUUGGGCACUAAGGUGUGGGACCCUAUCGACGGGUUCCGUGCCGCAGCUAACGCAUUAAGUGCCCCGGCUGGGGAGUACGGCCGCGAGGCUAAAACUCAAGGAAUUGACGGGGGGCCCCCACAAGCGUCUGAGCAUGUGCCUUAUUCUAGGCCAGCCCCGAAGGG